UGUUAAGUGCAGGGCUUAUGUAGUGCAAGGCUUGGCAAGACAUGGUUUCAAGGCAUGGCAACAAGGUUUGACACAAAAAUGGUUUUCUUGUUCAUGAAGGAAUUUGGUGAUGGAAUCACAUAGAAAGAUGAGAAAUGAUAUGUACUUCAUGUAGGCAUUAGGGUUGGGUCAUUAGAAUAGGUUAGUUGACUUUUUUAAACUAGUUGACCAAAAAGUCAACAUUUAACCAAAAGUCAAUUGUAGGUCAACUUUGUAUUUUUUUUAAUUU
This 268-nucleotide long non-coding RNA is filed under the name Lathyrus oleraceus (garden pea). RNAcentral describes it as "Pisum sativum (pea) long non-coding RNA (PSAT_LNC009357)". The record is from RNAcentral. Lineage: Eukaryota; Viridiplantae; Streptophyta; Magnoliopsida; Fabales; Fabaceae.